Anolis carolinensis (green anole) is the source of this 7265-nucleotide long non-coding RNA. RefSeq lists it as uncharacterized. The transcript has 2 exons. The record is from RefSeq and is a predicted model, not a curated record. NCBI's taxonomy places the organism in Eukaryota, Metazoa, Chordata, Lepidosauria, Squamata, Anolidae.
GCAGCAGCGGCGGCGGCGGCAGUGGCCCGGCUGGAAGGCCGCGAGUUCGAAUACCUCAUGAAGAAGCGCUCGGUGACCAUCGGCCGUAACUCCUCGCAGGGCUCGGUGGACGUGAGCAUGGGCCACUCCAGCUUCAUCUCCCGGCGGCACCUCGAGAUCUUCACUGCCCGCCCAGGCCCCGGCCGUUUCCAAUAACAGCAAACGGGCGAGGGUGUGUAGCGCGGGAAGCGGGGCCAACCCUGGCCCCGUCUCCCACGGCGUCGACAGCGCCCCCUAGCGGCUGCGCCCGAGGCUACGGCUUAACGGGCCUCAUAGGUCAAACCGGCCCUGACUACAGAUCCCAGAAACUCCAGUUCCCAGGAAUUCUGGAAUCUAAAUUCAAAGCUUUUCCAAGCUGUUUACAUUUCUAUAGCACCUUCAAGUGUCCAAAGUACUUAAUACUUGUAAAACCUUGCAACCACAUUAUAAGAAACUUCUCUAUUGUAGGCCUUUCCCUAUCAACUGGGAGGGGGGAAAGGACAAAGAAAGACCACCUUGUUUAAGUCCUUCAUGUGAAUUCAUAGCAGGCACAAGGUACAAAACAGGAAACAUCCUUGUUUGCAGUUCAAUUAUUUAUUAACUGCCCAACUUUGGAACUUCUAUGGCUGAAAGUCAGCCUUCUGCUAGUAAUCCAGUAUCAUAUUUUAAUUCCUUCCUCUCCCACUGGCAAUUCUUUUUCCACCCCAGCUCCCCAGCUAUUUCUAGGGAUGCACAGAGUGCUAUAACAUAGAGGGUGAGCUUCCUAAUUGUGGUUUAGUCUUAUUACUAUGUUUUGUUUUGUUUUUUGCUAAUUUAGUUUGAUGUGAGCUGUCUUGGAUCCCACUCCAGGAGAAAGGCAGCAUAUAAAUGCAAAAAAUAAAUACAUAAAUGUGUGAAUAAAUAAAUAAAUAUUUCUGGAACUUUUUGAUUUACAAAAGGAAGGUCCAGAAUAUUAGGGGAAGGGAUUUGCUAAAUGUAUCAGUUUGUUAGAUUUAUUUCAUUAACAUAUCUAACACCACAGGAUUUCAAAAAUAAUUUCAUACUUUGACCAAUUUGCUAUUUUAGUUCAUUGAAUUUGUUAGCAGGUUAGGUAAUUCUGUCUUUCUGCCAGAUUCAUUAAAAAGGGAUGGCCCCAGGAGAAGAAUGACAAUUGGAGAAAAUGCAUCACCUGAUGUCUGGGGAAAUGGCUAUAGAACAGGAUUGCUGUGAUACUUUCUAAUGAAAACUUUUUACUAGAUGGUCCAACAAUGAAAUGCCCUUUUCUCUGCACAGUUCAACCACUUUGGUUUUUAGAACCAAGAACUAAAGACAUCUUAGGGCAGUGGUUCUCGACCUGUGGGUCCCCAGGUGUUUUGGACUACAACUCCCAGAAAUUCCAGCCAGUUUACCAGCUGUUAGGAUUUCUGGGAGUUGAAGGCCAAACCAUCUGGGGACCCACAGGUUGAAAACCACUGUCUUAGGGCAAAUGUGCCAUGGAAUGAAUCUGGGACUUCUGGGAUCUGUAUAUAAAAUAUGCUGAUUUUUAUAGUCAGGUGCUUGUUGCUGUAUUCACAAUGUAUCAGUGUCCUGAAGCUGUAAUUAACACAUCACUACUCACUAAGCUUUAAUAUCAUUCCUUAUUAACCUUUAACACGAUGUAGUUAGAGUGCAAAAAUAAAAGAAAUGUAGAAAACUUAAUUGAAGAGAUUAUGAGAUGAGAUCCCAUACUUUAGGAAUGUGGCAGUUUACAGACAUGUUGGACUCUCACCAUUCCCAUGUAACAACAUUACUAUGAGCUUUAAAGCCCAUCUGGAAAGAUGAGCCUAACUGGGUGAAGUCAUUAAGAAAGAGCACUUUUGAAGGAGCCAAUAACAAAAUCUGUUCCUCAAUCAUCUGUUCCAAAAACCAACAGUUCAAGUAACAAAACAGUAUAAUAUGACUCCUCUGUUUCUCUGGAGCCAAUAUCUCUGAUUUCAUAUACCUGCAUCUAACAAAAUAUGCUCUCUUCUGGCACUUUCUAGGUCUUCCAGAUGAUUUAAUGGUAUACUUCCACCUGAUGUUGACUACACUGGAGGACCUAGUGCUGCUUAAAGAGAUGUCUUUUUUAGGCAUUUCCUAGAAAGGACAUCUCAAGGAUGGCUCUAUUUCAUGAUUCUGCCAGUUCAAUAGGGUUUGUUAUUACCUGUGGUUUUGCAUAUCCACACAAAGUCUUGCAAUAUAUCUUCCACAGACAUGUGGACUGUCCUAUAUUUUUAAUUAAACAGUAUUCAGUAACAAAUCAGUACUGUUAAUAAAAUAAGUCAAAUUAGUUAAAAUGAAUUACUCUCCCAUUUUCUAGAAAUUUAUUCUAGAGGUUUAAUUUCAAGCCUAACAUUCCAAUUUCUGGGAAGUUCCCAGUGAGGUCCAUGUUUAUGACCUUUGGUUCCCUUUCCCUCACAUAUUUCCUGUAUCUUUGUUCAGCUUAGUUCAGCUUUAGAGCUGAACUAGUCUUCCAUCCAUCUAUCAUCUUAUCAGUUUUUGAAUGUACUGUUGAAAUACCUCCAGUUCUAAUUGCAAGCUGAAAAAUACCUCAUCUUUUGGCAAUCAACAGUCUAAUACUGUUCUAAAUGUUUCUGCCUAUGUAGAUGUGAUGGGACUUCAGUAGCCAGGAGUAACAGAACCUGUAAUUGGCAUUUACUUCUGCCAAUCUGCAAUAAGUCUUGGAUACCACAUAGAGAUGGAUUUUCCCCCUCUGUCCUUCCCUGCUUCUGGCAAUUGUUUAAUAUGUUAUGCCGAGCUUCUAUCUCUUUGUAGUGAGGGUGGGAGGACUAAUGCUGCAGACCAUGUAUAUUUCAGAUACUGGGAUUCACAGAUCUAUUCUUAAUCGUGACAAGACAUGCUUAUGCAUUGCAGUGCUUCAUUAUCAUGGCUCCAGUUCACAGAUUUUUUUCAGCUGCUUGUUUCAGCUAAUCAACUCGACAGAUUUUUUGGAGACGAACUAAUCCCCCUUUUCUUACUUUUUAAAAGCAUUGCUCUUUUCCACUGGCUAGUAUUUACUAAAAUGCCAGUCCCAGCCAUUGCAAAUGAAACAUUUAAGAAAGAAAAUUAAUGUCAACUAAUACUAAUAUGGCAGGGCUGCAUACUUUCAUCCUCCCCAUUCAACUUGUACGGAGAACACAUCAUGUGACAUGUGGGGCUUGACGAAUCCGAGGUCGGAGUUAAAAUUGCUGGAAGAAACAUUAACAACCUUAGGUAUGCAGAUGAUACCACUCUGAUGGCCGAAAGUGAGGAAGAGCUGAGGAGUCUUAUCACCAAGGUGAAAGAAGAAAGUGCAAAAGCUGGGUGGCAGUUAAACAUCAAGAAAACCAAGAUCAUGGCAACUACACCUACUGAUAACUGGCAAAUAGAAGGAGAAAACGUGGAGGCAGUGACAAACUUUAUAUUUCUAGGAGCGAAGAUCACUGCAGAUGUAGACUGCAGCCAGGAAAUCAGAAGACGUUUACUUCUUGGGAGGAGAGCAAUGGCCAACCUUGACAAAAUAGUGAAAAGCAGAGACAUCACACUGGCAACGAAGGUCCGCAUAGUCAAAGCAAUGAUAUUUGCCAUAGUAACUUAUGGUUGCAAGAGCUGGACCAUAAGGAAGGCUGAACGAAGGAAGAUAGACGCUUUUGAACUUUGGUGCUGGAGGAAAAUCCUGAGAGUGCCUUGAACCACAAGAAGAUCCAACCAGUCUAUCAUCCAGGAAAUAAUGCCCGGCUGCUCACUGGAGGGAAGGAUAUUAGAGGCAAAGUUGAAGUAUUUUGGCCACAUCAUGAGGAGACAGGAAAGCUUGGAAAAGAUCACAAUGCUGGGGAAAAUGGAAGGAAAAAGGAAGAAAGGCCAACCAAGGGCGAGAUGGAUGGAUGAUAUCCUUGAAGUGACUGGCUUGACCUUGAAGGAACUGGGGGCGGCGACGACCGACAGGGAGCUCUGGCAUGGACUGGUCCAUGAGGUCACGAAGAGUCGGAAACGACUAUGCGACUGAGAGAGAGAGAGAAUAAUAACUCCAUAAAGACUACCAAUAGGGUUCAGGUUGAUGCAAAAGAAAUGCAUACGAUUAUACAAGGAACCUUUACAGGAGUCAGGGUCUGAUCAGCAUUCAUUCACUUUUUUGGCUUAAGAAAUUUAGGGUUUUCAUAUACUGGGUUGAGCAAAGCAUGGUCUGAAGACUACAUGCAGCCAUCAUAGGGAACUCAGGGUCCAAAAGCUCAACAGUCGCCCCAAAUAAACUCUGAGGGUUAUAGAAGAUAUUUACAUCAUAUUUGGUGAACCCAAGAAUUGUUUUUCAAAGUAUUUCAAAAAAAGGUUUUUGCCCCAAAAUGUCUUUUAAUACCCAUGGCAUGCCUUCCCAGCACAUGUACAAUGCCACCAAUAGUAAGGGAGUAUGAGAUUUGUGGUUAAAACAUCUGGAAGAACAAGGACUCCAGUUGAAAGCUACAUUACUGUAACACUUUCCUAGGACAAUAUCUACUGAUUGGAUUGGAGAUUAAUAUUGAGUAAGUGGGUGUAUACGUAAUUGUCAGUUGAGUACUGAUCCCACUGAAAAGAACACCACUAGGUAGUUAUGACUUUACAGUCAGCCCAAUGUACUCAGAGAUUUGGUGGGCCAUUUUAUAUAAAGGAUAUCAUUUUACUAUGCUAGUGUAUAUAAUGGAACUUGAACAUCCAUAGAUUUUGGUAUCCAUGGGGGAGGGGUUAUGGAUCCAAACCCUAGCAGAUACAAAGGGCCAAGUAUACUUUAUUAUUUAAUGUUUAUUAGAGCCUCCUUUCCCAAUUCUCAAUAAGAUGCUAGCAAUACACAUGUCUCCAGCAUUAUCCUCAUUUCCUUUUCUCUCUGGUUUUCUGUGUUUUUUUUCAUAUUGUACUAUAUUUAAAAGCAUGAGGCUUAAGACUUUGUUUGAUGUGAAUAGCACCAUUGAGUAGAAACUGUAUUUUCUAUAGGGCAUCAAGUGCAGCACAUUUAGCCUAGAACUCACCCAACCUGAACUUAAACUAAAAUAACAAUAACUGGGGUCAUUUUCCUACAUUGGUUUUAAAAAUAAUUCAUUCUCCGGGGAAAAAAACCUCAUCACUUCUGUUUCUAUUUGACCUUUCCAACUUCUUUGUUAAACACUGCACUCUUUGGCAUUUUGAUAUUUUAUAUGGCAGCUUUGCUCAACUUGGAUUGUGAGAGCAUAAGUCCAUUGCUCCUAGUCCUGCCCCACCAAAAACUUCUAGAGGAGACAAGAGGGAGCACUCAUGGGAUGGGAGAGAAACAGAAGUACAGGAAAUCCCCAAGUUACAAACACCCAACUUACAAACUACUCCUUACGAACAGGGGUGAGGCAACAGGAAGUGAGAGAAAUCUAUCCCUAGGAAGAGAAAUUCAGUCCUGGAAAAGUUAUCAUGGGGAAAAGGUGUCUCCACUGAAGCUUUCUCACCAAUCCUUAUUUCCACAGCAAGCCAAUUUUUUUUUUCAAAAUCGAAUUAUCAUAGGGACAGAAAGUCAGCAAAACAAACACCACAGGAGGUGUUAAUCCUUCCCUUUGCAAUCCAAAGCAUAUAUGUCUAUGUAUGUAUGUGAUAUAUAUAUAUAUAUAUAUAUAUAUAUACACACACACACACACACACACACACACACACACACACACACACACUAGCUGUGCCCGGCCACGCGUUGCUGUGGCUUAGUCUGGUGGUGUUGGUCAGUCUACAUUAGGUUGUAUUUAUGCUGUGACCUCCACCUUCUUUAUACUCACAUUAGUAGUAGUAUUUGAAGUCUGUUACCUUCUUCAAUUUUUGUGUUGAUUGAUAAUUGCUUGAGAUCCCUGUUGUCUUUGGUUUGUUGUUAAUUGUAAUGUCUGAUUCUGCUGAGUGCGGUUUAUAUUUUUAUUGUGGUACAAUAGUCCUUUUUUUGUUUUGCCUGUGUAGGUGUUUAUUAUUAUUGUUGUUGUAGUGGUCAUGAAGGUUGGAUAAGUUAGAUGCUACUGAAUUGUUUUUUGGAGGCCCAGUGUAGCACUGACUGGCCUCUCAGCCUCAGUGCCUGGCUGUUUCUUGCCUGUGAUGGUGUUGAUUCUUGUUGUUGUUGUCAUUGUUAUUGUUGUAAUUGUUUUUUUGGAGGCCAAGUGUGAAUGUAGGGAUUGGGGAGGUGGAUGAGUUGUGUUGUCAAAUGUUGUAUUUGUUAUAGUCACAAUGCGUUGUUGUGAGUUUUGUGGGUCUGGAUUGUGGUUUUGUGGUGUGGUUGUGUUGUUACAACUGAGAGGCAAGGCUUUUGUGUUGUGUUGCGAAGUUUUGUAUUUCUGGGUCGUUUAGUUGUGUUGUUAUAGUCACGAUGCAUUGUUGUGAGUUUUGUGGGUCUGGAUUGUGGUUUUGUGGUGUGGUUGUGUUGUUACAACUGAGAGGCAAGGCUUUUGUGUUGUGUUGUGAAGUUUUGUAUUUCUGGGGCGUUUAGUUGUGUUGUUAUAGUCACGAUGCAUUGUUGUGAGUUUUGUGGGUCCGGAUUGUGGUUUUGUGGUAUGGUUGUGUUGUUACAACCGGGAGGCAAGGUUUUUGCGUUGUGUUGCCAAGUUUUGUAUUUCUGGGGCGUUUAGUUGUGUGCCAAGUUUUGUAUUUCUGGGGCGUUUAGUUGUGUUGUUAUAGUCAUGAUGCAUUGUUGUGAGUUUUGUGGGUCUGGAUUGUGGUUUUGUGGUGUGGUUGUGUUGUUACAACUGAGAGGCAAGGCUUUUGUGUUGUGUUGCGAAGUUUUAUAUUUCUGAGGCGUUUAGUUGUGUGCCAAGUUUCGUAUUUCUGGGGCGUUUAGUUGUGUUGUUAUAGUCACGAUGCGUUGUUGUGAGUUUUAUGGGUCUGGAUUGUGGUUUUGUGGUGUGGUUGUGUUGUUACAACCUGGAGGGAAGGCUUUUGCGUUGUGUUGCCAAGUUUUGUAUUUACGGGGCGUUUAGUUGUGUUGUUAUAGUCACGAUGCGUUGUUGUGAGUUUUGUGGGUCCUGUGUGGUUUUGUGGUGUGGUUGUGUUGUUACAACUGGGAGGCAAGGCUUUUGCAUUGUGUUGCCAAGUUUUGUAUUUCUGGGGCGUUUAGUUGUGUUGUUAUUGCAUGAUGCGUUGUUGUGAGUUUUGUGGGUCUGGAUUGUGGUUUUGUGGUGUGGUUGUGUUGUUGUAACCUGGAGGCAAGCCUUUUGCAUUGUGUUGCCAAAUUUCGUAUUUCUGGGAUGUUUAGUUUUGUUGUUAUAGUCACUGCGCAAACAACUUUAUCAUUUUAUAUAUAUAGAUAUGUG